RNAcentral lists this ribosomal RNA (497 nucleotides) under uncultured bacterium. Its description in RNAcentral is "partial 16S ribosomal RNA". It matches the Rfam family "Bacterial small subunit ribosomal RNA", at positions 28 to 507 of the family's 1533-position model. The record is from RNAcentral.
GAUGAACGCUGGCGGCGUGCCUAAUACAUGCAAGUCGAGCGAACGGACGAGUAGCUUGCUUCUCUGAUGUUAGCGGCGGACGGGUGAGUAACACGUGGAUAACCUACCUAUAAGACUGGGAUAACUUCGGGAAACCGGAGCUAAUACCGGAUAAUAUUUUGAACCGCAUGGUUCAAAAGUGAAAGACGGUCUUGCUAUCACUUAUAGAUGGAUCCGCGCUGCAUUAGCUAGUUGGUAAGGUAACGGCUUACCAAGGCAACGAUGCAUAGCCGACCUGAGAGGGUGAUCGGCCACACUGGAACUGAGACACGGUCCAGACUCCUACGGGAGGCAGCAGUAGGGAAUCUUCCGCAAUGGGCGAAAGCCUGACGGAGCAACGCCGCGUGAGUGAUGAAGGUCUUCGGAUCGUAAAACUCUGUUAUUAGGGAAGAACAUAUGUGUAAGUAACUGUGCACAUCUUGACGGUACCUAAUCAGAAAGCCACGGCUAACUACGUG